AUUGAACGCUGGCGGCAGGCCUAACACAUGCAAGUCGAGCGGCAGCGGGAAAGUAGCUUGCUACUUUUGCCGGCGAGCGGCGGACGGGUGAGUAAUGCCUGGGGAUCUGCCCAGUCGAGGGGGAUAACUACUGGAGACGGUAGCUAAUACCGCAUACGCCCUACGGGGGAAAGCAGGGGACCUCCGGGCCUUGAGCGAUUGGAUGACCCCAGGUGGGAUUAGCUAGUUGGUGAGGUAAUGGCUCACCAAGGCGACGAUCCCUAGCUGGUCUGAGAGGAUGAUCAGCCACACUGGAACUGAGACACGGUCCAGACGCCUACGGGAGGCAGCAGUGGGGAAUAUUGCACAAUGGGGGAAACCCUGAUGCAGCCAUGCCGCGUGUGUGAAGAAGGCCUUCGGGUUGUAAAGCACUUUCAGCGAGGAGGAAAGGUUGGUAGCUAAUAACUGCCAGCUGUGACGUUACUCGCAGAAGAAGCACCGGCUAACUCCGUGCCAGCAGCCGCCGUAA
RNAcentral lists this ribosomal RNA (508 nucleotides) under uncultured bacterium. RNAcentral describes it as "partial 16S ribosomal RNA". It matches the Rfam family "Bacterial small subunit ribosomal RNA", at positions 29 to 523 of the family's 1533-position model. The record is from RNAcentral.